This 1018-nucleotide ribosomal RNA is filed under the name Parabacteroides merdae. RNAcentral's name for it is "bacterial SSU rRNA". It matches the Rfam family "Bacterial small subunit ribosomal RNA", at positions 196 to 1217 of the family's 1533-position model. The record is from RNAcentral. Lineage: Bacteria; Pseudomonadati; Bacteroidota; Bacteroidia; Bacteroidales; Tannerellaceae.
AUUUGUUAAAGAUUCAUCGCUGAUAGAUAGGCAUGCGUUCCAUUAGGCAGUUGGCGGGGUAACGGCCCACCAAACCGACGAUGGAUAGGGGUUCUGAGAGGAAGGUCCCCCACAUUGGUACUGAGACACGGACCAAACUCCUACGGGAGGCAGCAGUGAGGAAUAUUGGUCAAUGGGCGCGAGCCUGAACCAGCCAAGUCGCGUGAAGGAUGAAGGUUCUAUGGAUUGUAAACUUCUUUUAUAUGGGAAUAAAAUGCGGGACGUGUCCCGUUUUGUAUGUACCGUAUGAAUAAGCAUCGGCUAACUCCGUGCCAGCAGCCGCGGUAAUACGGAGGAUGCGAGCGUUAUCCGGAUUUAUUGGGUUUAAAGGGUGCGUAGGUCGUAAUUUAAGUCAGCGGUGAAAGUUUGUGGCUCAACCAUAAAAUUNGCCGUUGAAACUGGAUUACUUGAGUGUGUUUGAGGUAGGCGGAAUGCGUGGUGUAGCGGUGAAAUGCAUAGAUAUCACGCAGAACUCCGAUUGCGAAGGCAGCUUACUAAACCAUAACUGACACUGAAGCACGAAAGCGUGGGGAUCAAACAGGAUUAGAUACCCUGGUAGUCCACGCAGUAAACGAUGAUUACUAGGAGUUUGCGAUACAAUGUAAGCUCUACAGCGAAAGCGUUAAGUAAUCCACCUGGGGAGUACGCCGGCAACGGUGAAACUCAAAGGAAUUGACGGGGGCCCGCACAAGCGGAGGAACAUGUGGUUUAAUUCGAUGAUACGCGAGGAACCUUACCCGGGUUUGAACGCAUAUGGACCGGGGUGGAAACACCCCUUCUAGCAAUAGCCAUUUGCGAGGUGCUGCAUGGUUGUCGUCAGCUCGUGCCGUGAGGUGUCGGCUUAAGUGCCAUAACGAGCGCAACCCUUAUCACUAGUUACUAACAGGUCGUGCUGAGGACUCUGGUGAGACUGCCAGCGUAAGCUGUGAGGAAGGUGGGGAUGACGUCAAAUCAGCACGGCCCUUACAUCCGGGGCGAC